UACGGGGGGGGCAAGCGUUGUUCGGAAUUACUGGGCGUAAAGGGCUCGUAGGCGGCCAACUAAGUCAGACGUGAAAUCCCUCGGCUUAACCGGGGAACUGCGUCUGAUACUGGAUGGCUUGAGUUUGGGAGAGGGAUGCGGAAUUCCAGGUGUAGCGGUGAAAUGCGUAGAUAUCGGGAGGAACACCUGUGGCGAAAGCGGCGCACUGGACCAUAACUGACGCUGAUGCGCGAAAGCUAGGGGAGCAAACAGG
This 253-nucleotide ribosomal RNA is filed under the name uncultured bacterium. Its description in RNAcentral is "partial 16S ribosomal RNA". It matches the Rfam family "Bacterial small subunit ribosomal RNA", at positions 524 to 776 of the family's 1533-position model. The record is from RNAcentral.